This 579-nucleotide unclassified non-coding RNA is filed under the name Hevea brasiliensis (rubber tree). The record is from RNAcentral. Lineage: Eukaryota; Viridiplantae; Streptophyta; Magnoliopsida; Malpighiales; Euphorbiaceae.
GGGCUCCGAUGUAGCGCAUCGUUAUAAAUGUACAUUUCAACUCCACCUCAGAGUAACUUAGUCGCAACUGCCUGCCAUCGAAUAUCCUAGGAUAAACAUGUCAGACCAAUUCUCCAAAUGAACUUGUAUUCUUCCCUAUCAAAGCUACAAUGCCAACUAGCAAUUAUCUCCAAGACUUGAGAAAGAGGGACCCAAGAAACCAUAAAUAGAGAAUGAACAAAAGAUAAAAGCUUCCAUUCAAUUAGAAUAAAGGAAACAACAAAAGAAGAAUGAACAAAAAAAACAGACUAUAAAGUAUCUCCAGGUUCAUUAUGUAUGACAUGACAUAGGUCAAUUCUUCAAUUUGUUUACAUGUGCAACACAAUUCGCCAAAAUACAUGUCUUUUUUACAAUAUUCUCAAAUGUCAAUCUUCAAAAUAUUUUAUAGUGUAGUCCAAAACACACAAAUCCUCUGCAUGGUGGCUUCCUUUUCCCGUGAAAUUCAUACUUUUCAUUACCGCUGCUCUCACAGUUUCCUCUACUUUUAGUAUUACUAUUGUUUAUCUAUGCGUGUAAAUUAUUUGUAUUUAGUUUUUUUUU